AGAGACAGCAGACAGAAGCAGGGACGACAGACACAGUCCGGAGGGCUGUAAGCUAGGGGUGGUGGGAUCAGGUUUCUGAAACUUCCUCCACUGCCGUGUGGAUGCAAGGCAGAAGCUGGCCCAGGAGGGUCACUUAGAAGGCCACCUCUUAAAACAGAGAUGAGCAAAGACAACGGCUGACCUGGGGCAGGGGAAUUAGGGGUGGGGGAAGGGGAGAGGAGAUGCUGCCUGGGCUGGGGGCUGUCUUUCAUGAGGCAGCCAGAGGAGCCAAGGAUGGCCUCUGAAUGGGAGGCUGGGGCUGAGUCCAGCCAUCCCAGGACCUCCGGUGUGUGACUCCUGGACAUACCAGUCUUUGCCAUCCUAGCCCAGGCUGUCCCCACAUCCAAAGCUCCCCCUGUGGUCCCACCCCUGCUGCCCUUCAGAGCUGCGACCAUGGCCCUCAGGCCUGUCCACCGCCCUCGGCAACAUCAUGGCUAACCUGGGCUCCACACAUUUCUUCCAUCAGCAGACAGUGCCCCUCCGGGGGAAGCUCUGAGACCCAGCACCUAUCGGGAAAAACUCAAAGGUCCAGGCGCUGAAUCUAAGCCAGGCACGUUCUUCAUUUGUGUAUUAUCUACGGCCCAGUUCUUGCUGCAGCAGCGGAAUCGAGAAGCUGCGGGAGAGACCCCGCAGCCUGCAAAGCUGAAAAUAUUUACUUCCUGGCCAUUCACAGAAAAUGUUUGCCAACCCAUGACCUAAAGCAUCAUCUCUCAGAGGGUUGGGAAGGAACCUGGAAGCUGUCCCAUUCAGAGGCGGGAGCUUCAACGGGACCCUGCGUCUUCUGCCUCCAAGGCCUGUGGUAGGGGCUGUCACAGGCUGCAGAGGAGUCCAGGAGGGAGAUGCUACAGAAAUUAUCUUGCCUGUGCAUGGUGCGAGGGUCUGGAACAUACAUUUAACCAAGGCAAGGAGCGAAGUGAGAGGAAGCAAUAUUGUGGAUUGCAGGAGGUGAUGGAUGAGAUGAGAGAAGAAUCUGCAUGGUCAGAAUCUGUUUGGCAUCGGAAGGGAAGUACCCAGGAAAUUUGAGGAUCGCCUCGUCCAGUUGUCUGUGGAACUGAACUGUGAGUUGUCCAUGAGGGAUGAAUGGCAAUGCCAAUGUUUCCAGAGUUUCUGUCAUGAGGUCUCCUGGCUUGGAGAUGGAGAGGGCACACACAGGUUUCGGAUUCAAGCCUGCAGGACAGUCCUGGCUGCACCACUCAGGAACCCUGGGUGAGUCUCUUUACCCCUCACAGCCUCAGUUUUCCCUUCCUGGAAAUGGGACCACAAUCCAAACCUUGUAGAACUGCUUCAAAGAUGAAAGGAGACAUCGCAUGUGAGAUGCCGGCCCAUAGGAGCCAGGGCACGAAAGGCAGCUCCGCAUUGGGUCCCCAAAAAGUCUCCGCAGGUUGGCAGCCAAGAGAGCUACCAUUUCUUUGUUUGGAGAGAUUCCACUCCCUGGAAAGGGUAAUCCUGCAGGAAAGGAGGAGGGAGUCGUUCCAGAGUUUGGGAGAUGUCGGCUUUGACUCUGAGUGAUGCCGCCUCAAACACUUACUGUCAUACAGGAAGUUACUCAAACACAAUCAAUUAGACACCCAUAUUAGCAUAUUUGUCAUUGUAAUACAGCCGCAGAGAGGAGAUGCUGGAGACUGUUUAUUGCUGUUCUGAGCUAAUAUUUAUUAAAGUGAUUAAUAUGUUUUUCAAAUAUCUGUGACAGGCGUGGCAGGAAUUACUGAUCUCCUCCCUCGAGAGCCUGAAAGGGUGAGGGGUGGGAGUCACUUAGAGAGGGGCGGCAGGUAGGGGCCUUGGGGCCUCAGGGGACCGUGUCCUCCUCUGGGGCCCCUUUCCUGCUCGGGCCUCCUGCCUUCCAUCUUCCCCUGUCUCCUCCACCUUCAACUUCCCCUGUCUCCUCUCCUCCACCUUCAACUUCCCCCUCUACUGACCGUUCCCAUCGGCAUUCUGAGACAUCUCCCACCAUGACAAAUAGAGACCUCCCAGGAUGCCCUGUCCCCCUGCUCCUUCCUGGACCCCCUCAUCCCCAGCCAUUCUGCCAUCUUCCUCCUUCCCUCCAUAGCCAAACUCUUCAAAAGAACUCUUUUCCCUCCCUACCUCCUUUGCUCAUCUUCCAGUCUCUGCUUUUUAAAAAUCAUUACAAAAAAUUAAAAGUGGCUGGGCGCGGUGGCUCACACCUGUAAUCCCAGUACUUUUGGAGGCCAAGGCGGGAGGGAAUAACCUGAGGUCAGGAGUUCGAGACCAGCCUGGCCAACAUGGUGAAACCCUGUCUCUAUUAAAAAUACAAAAAUUAGCAGGGUGUGGUAGCUGGUGCCUGUAAUCCCAGCUACUCAGGAGGC
RNAcentral lists this long non-coding RNA (2363 nucleotides) under Homo sapiens (human). Its description in RNAcentral is "non-protein coding lnc-CRYBA4-21:8". The record is from RNAcentral. Lineage: Eukaryota; Metazoa; Chordata; Mammalia; Primates; Hominidae.